AUAUCGAGCACCUACGUCACUG
Molecule: non-coding RNA, 22 nt
Filed under: Arabidopsis thaliana (thale cress)
Lineage: Eukaryota; Viridiplantae; Streptophyta; Magnoliopsida; Brassicales; Brassicaceae
Source: RNAcentral